This 404-nucleotide long non-coding RNA is filed under the name Ananas comosus (pineapple). RNAcentral's name for it is "long non-coding RNA (ACOM_LNC035042)". Lineage: Eukaryota; Viridiplantae; Streptophyta; Magnoliopsida; Poales; Bromeliaceae. The record is from RNAcentral.
UUACGGUAAGAACUUCAAUCAACCUUUCAUUCUAUUGCUUUUAGAAAUUGUGAAAGAAUUUCAAGUCAUGGCUAAAGGAAUUUCAAGUUAUGGCUAAAGGAAUUUCAAAAUCAAGAUAUUCAUUCACUGUUUGACAUAUUUAUUGUCAUUGUCUUUUCCUAUUGAUUCUACUGAUUUUAUUGUCCAAAAACUAUAACAAUUAUAUACAUAUUUUCACAAAGCUAUCACUUAAACAAAAACUAUAACAAUGCCAUACUAUAAUUCUAAUAGCAGUAACUACCUAAGAUAUGUGUGCUAGGUAGUUCCGGAUAUCGGUGUUUAAAUCGACAAAUUUAAUGUUGUUGAAUGGAUUUGGAUCGUGAAACGGUAGUCUGAAGAAAUCGAUGCCCGUACUUGCAAUCUGG